Long non-coding RNA from Salvia miltiorrhiza (redroot sage), 2116 nucleotides. RefSeq lists it as uncharacterized. The transcript is spliced from 2 exons. The record is from RefSeq and is a predicted model, not a curated record. NCBI's taxonomy places the organism in Eukaryota, Viridiplantae, Streptophyta, Magnoliopsida, Lamiales, Lamiaceae.
GCUUCUUCGUUUCUUCGACUUUAUAUUGGAUUUUAAUACAUUGGAUUACAUUGAUUUAUUGUUUGCUUCAAAUUAUAUAGAAGUGCGAAAUAUUUUGCAGGGUGUUAUUGAGAUAUGUGCUAGUGGAGCAGAGAAUUGGAUGAUUUAAUUGAUGCAAAUUCCUAUUGUUGUUUUCUUCUUAAUAAAUGUUGUUCGGUUGGGAAUGGAGAACGAGUAUGGUGGUUGGGGGCUAUAGUAAAUUGGAUAAUUUAGAGCUAUGAAUUUUUUUUUUUACUAAAAUAAUAAAUUUAUAAUUUUUUAAUAAUUAUUUUAAAUAAAUGGGCUAUGAAUAGAAUUACCCUAAAAAGAAUACAAGGCCCAACGGUAAUAAAAACAAAAGGCCCCAAACAAAAUAGAGAAUUUGGGCUUAAAUAACUUAGAAGAUUAGCCCAUUAUCAAUUUAAAUCUGCAGCCCAGAUAAUUAAAAUGAAAGGCGCAACACUAAAUUAGGGGUGAGCAGAAAUCGAACCGAAACUCAAAAUCAAACCGAAUCAAACGAUUUUGGUGAUGUUCGAUCCCGAUUCUACUGGUUUAGUUUUCGGUUCGGUUUUAAACCGAACCGAACCGAUAAAUAUUAAUAUUUUAUUAUAUAUUUAUAUUUUAAUAUAUAAUUAAUUUUCUAAUUUUAAACCUAAAACCCUAACACAUCUCACAUCUGAACUCCUCCAAUUCUCUCCUUAUUCCCGCCGCUCUCACUCUCAGCCUCUCACUCUCCCCCUUCCGUCCACUCUCCUACCCGCCGUCCGCCCGUCGUCGCCGACGCUCCAUGCCGUUCGCCAGUCGACGACAGCCCAGGCCGGGCGUCCCCCCUUCCGCGACAGCCCAGGCGACAUCCGUUGUCCUUGGAGGCGGAGACGACUACCCCCUUCCGGCUUCCAGUUUCCAACGGCGAGACGCCGAGAACCGACUCCCCUUUCCGGCUAAAAAUUACCAACUGUUUCAGCAAAAAGAGAAUUUUUUUCAUAAAGUAUCUUCUUCAAAGGUAACUCUAUCUGUAACAAUUUUGGGUUAGACCUCCUCAUUUUUGACUUGGUGAAAUGCAAUGUUUAAUUCCUACCGAACGGAACCGAUGCUCACCCCUAAACUAAAUGAUAUUCUGGGCUCAUAUCAAUAAAAGUGGCCCAAUAAAAUACUAACAUGGCCCAAAGGGAAAUAAAACACAAAAAAUCAGCCAAGUCUUUCUUUCUCAACCACCCUCGUCCCUCGGCCAUUAACAGAUUUUCAAUCCCUCAUUCUCUUCUCGAAGUAGUCGCCCCUCUCUUCUAUAAUUCUCGUCGCCGCUGCUUCUCCUCCGGCGACGUCGCGCCGCCUGAGUCCGUCGCCCUUCUCUCUCUCUUACCAUGCGCAAAGCCCGAAUCUCUCUCUGAUAGCACACGCUCAAGGCAAAAGGGCGGGCCCUAAUUCCUCCCCUAAAUCGAAAUCGCCGCCACCUCCGCCGUCUGUGGAAGACCGGCGAGGUCGGCUCCAGUAUGAGCUCCUCUCUUCUCCUAACAUCGAUCUGUGCCCAGGCAGCAAGAGUUCGUCUUCGCCGUUUCCUUGGGCUCGACUGGACAGGGCAGUCGGUCCUCCAUUCUUAAAAGCUAAGUUCUUCUUCUAUGGCUAAUCGGUGUUUCAGUUAUGCAAGGGUAGUAAGAAUGUUGUAGUUUUGCUACUGCCUAUAGGAAGGUUCUCAAUGCAGCUAUAGGCUGUUGGUUCCACAUGGAUAACUUGAUUAUGAAAUGGUGAGGCUAAUGACUGAAAGGAAUUGAGUUACAGCAAGGCUUACCCUUUGAGUUUUGGCAGAACAAUGAAUGAGGUUUCUCCUUACUCUUCCAUCGUUGAACAAUUUAACGGUUGUUGUUUUGUGAAAAAGAAGGAUGUGGAAGCAUUAAAGCCAAGCUUACCGGAGCAAUGAAGGAAGGGUCUCUGCUUCUUUUUGAAGAUUUAUCUCACGCUUUUGUGUUUGUGUGGUUCAAAAUCCAAAUCAUACCCCAUCUAAAUUUAUUGGAUUGGGCCUUCUUUUAUUAUUGAUAUGGCUGGGCUUUACAGCCUUUACCCCUUUUUCAUUUUCUUUACAAGGUGGGUACUUUGCAGACAA